Molecule: ribosomal RNA, 119 nt
Filed under: Helianthus annuus (common sunflower)
Lineage: Eukaryota; Viridiplantae; Streptophyta; Magnoliopsida; Asterales; Asteraceae
Source: RNAcentral
GGUUGCGAUCAUACCAGCACUAAUGCACCGGAUCCCAUCAGAACUCCGCAGUUAAGCGUGCUUGGGCGAGAGUAGUACUAGGAUGGGUGACCCUCUGGGAAGUCCUCGUGUUACACCCU